AUGAUGCCCAACAAUCCUUCCCACUACCUCUAUACAUCAAUUCUCACAUGUUCCCCUCUUUUCUUCAAUCCUCCCUCUUUUGCAUCCCUUUACUUUCACUCCUCCCUCUUUUUCUUCCCCUUUACUUUCACUCCUCCCUUUUUCCAUUCCUUUACUUUCACUCCUCCCUCUUUUUCUUCCCCUUUACUUUCACUCCUCCCUCUUUUCCAUCCCUUUACUUUCACUCCUCCCUUUUUCUUCCCCUUUACUUUCACUCCUCCCUCUUUUCUUCCCCUUUACUUUCACUCCUCCCUCUUUUCCAUCCCUUUACUUUCACUCCUCCCUCUUUUUCUUCCCCUUUACUUUCACUCCUCCCUCUUUUUCCAUCCCUUUACUUUCACUCCUCCCUCUUUUUCUUCCCCUUUACUUACACUCCUCCCUCUUUUUCCAUCCCUUUACUUUCACUCCUCCCUCUUUUUCUUCCCCUUUACUUUCACUCCUCCCUCUUUUCCAUCCCUUUACUUUCACUCCUCCCUCUUUUUCUUCCCCUUUACUUUCACUCCUCCCUCUUUUCCAUCCCUUUACUUUCACUCCUCCCUCUUUUCCAUCCCUUUACUUUCACUCCUCCCUCUUUUCUUCCCCUUUACUUUCACUCCCCCUCUUUUUCCAUCCCUUUACUUUCACUCCUCCCUCUUUUUCUUCCCCCUUUACUUACACUCCUCCCUCUUUUUCUUCCCCUUUACUUACACUCCUCCCUCUUUUCUUCCCCUUUACUUUCACUCCUCCCUCUUUUUCUUCCCCUUUACUUUCACUCCUCCCUCUUUUUGCCAUCCCUUUACUUUCACUCCUCCCUCUUUUUCUUCCCCUUUACUUUCACUCCUCCCUCUUUUUCCAUCCCUUUACUUUCACUCCUCCUCUUUUUCUUCCCCUUUACUUUCACUCCUCCCUCUUUUUCCAUCCCUUUACUUUCACUCCUCCCUCUUUUCUUCCCCUUUACUUUCACUCCUCCCUCUUUUUCCAUCCCUUUACUUUCACUCCUCCCUCUUUUCUUCCCCUUUACUUUCACUCCUCCCUCUUUUCCAUCCCUUUACUUUUGCUGAUCCACAUGAUUUUCUGACUAUAUUAAACAAUUGUGAUUACUGA
Molecule: long non-coding RNA, 1122 nt
Organism: Cyprinus carpio carpio
Lineage: Eukaryota; Metazoa; Chordata; Actinopteri; Cypriniformes; Cyprinidae
Source: Ensembl